AGGCAGCAGUGGGGGAAUAUUGCACAAUGGGCGCAAGCCUGAUGCAGCCAUGCCGCGUGUAUGAAGAAGGCCUUCGGGUUGUAAAGUACUUUCAGCAGUGAGGAAGGUGGAUAUGUUAAUAGCAUAUUCAUUUGACGUUUAGCUGCAGAAGAAGCACCGGCUAACUCCGUGCCAGCAGCCGCGGUAAUACGGAGGGUGCGAGCGUUAAUCGGAAUUACUGGGCGUAAAGCGCAUGCAGGUGGUUUGUUAAGUCAGAUGUGAAAGCCCGGGGCUCAACCUCGGAAUUGCAUUUGAAACUGGCAAACUAGAGUACUGUAGAGGGGGUAGAAUUUCAGGUGUAGCGGUGAAAUGCGUAGAGAUCUGAAGGAAUACCGGUGGCGAAGGCGGCCCCCUGGACAGAUACUGACACUCAGAUGCGAAAGCGUGGGGAGCAAACAGGAUUAGAUACCCUGGUAG
This 456-nucleotide ribosomal RNA is filed under the name uncultured bacterium. Its description in RNAcentral is "bacterial SSU rRNA". It matches the Rfam family "Bacterial small subunit ribosomal RNA", at positions 346 to 793 of the family's 1533-position model. The record is from RNAcentral.